UACGUAGGGGGCAAGCGUUGUCCGGAUUUAUUGGGCGUAAAGAGCGUGUAGGCGGCCAGGUAGGUCAGCUGUGAAAACUCGAGGCUCAACCUCGAGACGUCGGUUGAAACCACCUGGCUAGAGUCCGGAAGAGGAGAGUGGAAUUCCUGGUGUAGCGGUGAAAUGCGCAGAUAUCAGGAAGAACACCCGUGGCGAAGGCGGCUCUCUGGGACGGCACUGACGCUGAGACGCGAAAGCGUGGGGAGCGAACAGG
Molecule: ribosomal RNA, 253 nt
Filed under: uncultured bacterium
Lineage: Bacteria
Description: partial 16S ribosomal RNA
Rfam family: Bacterial small subunit ribosomal RNA
Source: RNAcentral